Long non-coding RNA from Homo sapiens (human), 353 nucleotides. NCBI's taxonomy places the organism in Eukaryota, Metazoa, Chordata, Mammalia, Primates, Hominidae. The record is from Ensembl.
AGAUGGAGUUGCUCUGUUGCCCAGGCUGGAGUGCAGUGGCAUGAUCUCGGCCCACUGCAACCCCUGCCUCCUGGGUUCAAGGGAUUCUCCUGUCUCAGCCUCCCAAGUAGCUGGAACUACAGGUGUGUGCCACCACGCCCAGCUAAUCUUUUUUGUAUUUUUGACAGAGACAGGGUUUCACUGUGUUAGCCAGGAUGGUCUUGAUCUCCUGACCUCGUGAUCCACCCGCCUCGACCUCCCAAAGUGCUGGGAUUACAGGCGUGAGCCACCACACCUGGCCUGCUCUUUCCUUUUGUCCAGUCUCUCAGAGAGGCUGCCUGGAUCACAGUGCUACCACCCCAAUCUGGGUCUCU